CUACGGGGUGCUCCAGUGGGGAAUAUUGCACAAUGGGGGGAACCCUGAUGCAGCAACGCCGCGUGGAGGAUGACGCAUUUCGGUGUGUAAACUCCUUUUAUAUGUCAAGAAAAUGACGGUAGCAUAUGAAUAAGCACCGGCUAACUCCGUGCCAGCAGCCGCGGUAAUACGGAGGGUGCAAGCGUUACUCGGAAUCACUGGGCGUAAAGGACGCGUAGGCGGGUUGGAAAGUCAGGUGUGAAAUCCUACAGCUUAACUGUAGAACUGCACUUGAAACUACGAGCCUAGAGUAUGGGAGGGGGAGAUGGAAUUAGUGGUGUAGGGGUAAAAUCCGUAGAUAUCACUAGGAAUACCUAAAGCGAAGGCGAUCUCCUGGAACAUAACUGACGCUAAGGCGUGAAAGCGUGGGGAGCAAACAGGAUUAGAUACCCCCGUAGUC
RNAcentral lists this ribosomal RNA (439 nucleotides) under uncultured bacterium. Its description in RNAcentral is "partial 16S ribosomal RNA". It matches the Rfam family "Bacterial small subunit ribosomal RNA", at positions 339 to 795 of the family's 1533-position model. The record is from RNAcentral.